This is a small nuclear RNA of Erinaceus europaeus (western European hedgehog), 162 nucleotides long. Its record names the gene U1. It matches the Rfam family "U1 spliceosomal RNA". From Rfam's summary of the family: U1 is a small nuclear RNA (snRNA) component of the spliceosome (involved in pre-mRNA splicing). Lineage: Eukaryota; Metazoa; Chordata; Mammalia; Eulipotyphla; Erinaceidae. The record is from Ensembl.
AUGCUUAUUCGGCAGAGGAGAUACCAUAAUUUCAAACAUAGUUUUCCCAGGGCAAGGCUUACCCAUCUCCCUCUGAAUAUGCUGAACCCUAAGACUUCCCCAAAUGUGGGAAACUUGAUUGCAGAAUUUGUGAUAGUAGGGAAUUUGUUUGUGCUUUCCUCU